This 253-nucleotide ribosomal RNA is filed under the name uncultured bacterium. RNAcentral's name for it is "partial 16S ribosomal RNA". It matches the Rfam family "Bacterial small subunit ribosomal RNA", at positions 524 to 776 of the family's 1533-position model. The record is from RNAcentral.
UACGGAGGGGACUAGCGUUGUUCGGAAUUACUGGGCGUAAAGCGCGCGUAGGCGGCUUUGUAAGUUAGAGGUGAAAGCCCGGGGCUCAACCCCGGAACUGCCUUUAAGACUGCAUCGCUUGAAUCCGGGAGAGGUGAGUGGAAUUCCGAGUGUAGAGGUGAAAUUCGUAGAUAUUCGGAAGAACACCAGUGGCGAAGGCGGCUCACUGGACCGGUAUUGACGCUGAGGUGCGAAAGCGUGGGGAGCAAACAGG